UGGGGAAUUUUGGACAAUGGGCGCAAGCCUGAUCCAGCCAUGCCGCGUGUCUGAAGAAGGCCUUCGGGUUGUAAAGGACUUUUGUCAGGGAAGAAAAGGACAGGGUUAAUACCUCUGUUUGAUGACGGUACCUGAAGAAUAAGCACCGGCUAACUACGUGCCAGCAGCCGCGGUAAUACGUAGGGUGCGAGCGUUAAUCGGAAUUACUGGGCGUAAAGCGAGCGCAGACGGUUACUUAAGCAGGAUGUGAAAUCCCCGGGCUCAACCUGGGAACUGCGUUCUGAACUGGGUGACUAGAGUGUGUCAGAGGGAGGUAGAAUUCCACGUGUAGCAGUGAAAUGCGUAGAGAUGUGGAGGAAUACCGAUGGCGAAGGCAGCCUCCUGGGAUAACACUGACGUUCAUGCUCGAAAGCGUGGGUAGCAAACAGGAUUAGAUACCCUGGUAGUCCACGCCCUAAACGAUGUCAAUUAGCUGUUGGGCAACUUGAUUGCUUAGUAGCGUAGCUAACGCGUGAAAUUGACCGCCUGGGGAGUACGGUCGCAGAUU
Molecule: ribosomal RNA, 547 nt
Filed under: uncultured bacterium
Lineage: Bacteria
Description: bacterial SSU rRNA
Rfam family: Bacterial small subunit ribosomal RNA
Source: RNAcentral